Homo sapiens (human) is the source of this 1763-nucleotide long non-coding RNA. Ensembl annotates it as BTG2 divergent transcript. Its record names the gene BTG2-DT. The record is from Ensembl. Lineage: Eukaryota; Metazoa; Chordata; Mammalia; Primates; Hominidae.
ACCACUCACCAGGACGUGUUGUCACCAUUUUACCGCUUUGCCUCGUCUCUUAACUAGACGAAAUGGGUUCCUUUUGGCUCUUUGGAAAGGGAGGCUGUCUUCUAUUUAUUUCCGUGGUAAUCCCACCUCCCACAACAAGUUCCAUUCUACAGCAAUGUCUUUUCUCUUGCUGAGAACCAUUCAAGUCUAAGUUUUCUGGUGGGUAGGGGUAGGGGGUGUGUUGCAAGACUUUUGUCUUCUCAACUUAUUUUUCUAGUUCUCACUUUCCUUAAGUGCUAAUUUUUUUGAAUUAGUGGUCUGCUCUCAACUGUACGUAUUUUUCCGUCCACUCCCUCCUUCCCCCAGCCGUCUUCCUUCCUCAUUGUGGUUUGGACCUUCUCGAGAAAGAAUCUGGCCUCAGUCUCCCUCUUCCACACUCAGGGACCGCCACCAUCACAGGCACUCGGUAGAUGUCUGCUGAAUGAGGAUAACUUCUACCCAACACCGUGAAGCCUGGCCCAGGGUCUGGCAUACAGAUGCCGUGUUUGUAAGGUGACUAAAACCCAGUGGCCUCUGUAAAUUCCUAUUUUCCUUGGACUCUGAGCCCUCUGACCACCUUCUGGAAGCCGUGUCCCUGUCUUUUUUCCUUGUGCCCCAGGCUUCUCCACCCCCCUGUCUGGCUGUGCUGCCCCUGGAUCCCUUCGUGCCCCGUUCCCCGCACUAUGUCUCCUCAGUCCUCCUCCCUUUUCUCUAGGCUGCCUUUCCUUGGAGAGGUCCUAUGCAUGUAGCCUGUCUUGAUGUUUACUGUUUUACAGUGGCUUUUCUCAUCUGCAUAGUCUGUCCUCCUGUCUUUCCAUCCUGCUCCUGUUCCCACCGGCUCUGUCCUCUCCCUCAGAUGUCCAGCCACCACCUCAAUGUCAGCCGAAGCCCAGUGUCUCUCCAAAGCUCUUGAUCUCCAUUUCUGUCAGCGAUACCAUCAUUUCCCAGUCACUCCGUCCAGAAAGGUCAGCCCCUCCUUGUACUUUGCUCCCUAAAUCCAGUCCCCAAAUCGGCUGCUUCUUACUAUCUAGAUGGUUGCAGUGGAUUCUAUCCAGUCCCAUCCCCAGACCACCCUUCCCACUGUUAGUGGAGUUCCCUUCCUAAAAGACUUCAUUCCCUAGCUCUUCUCUUGCUCAGGUCAUUCUGAAACAUCCCCUCCCCCAUUCGUCUACUAAAUCAAGUCCAGACUCCUUUGCCUAAUGUUUAAGACCCUUCAUAAUUUAGCCCCAUCUGCCUUUUUAGGUUGCUGCUACUUUGUGCUCCAGGGUCACUCUUCUCACUGCCCUCUAAGUAUCAGCAAAUCUACAGCCUGGAUCCCUCAACAGCUUGCCCAUGAUCCCCAUCUCUGCCCUGUAACGUGGUCCCCAUUCCAUGCAUGCCUGAACAUGCGUGACCCUGCUGCUCCGUGGCUCAUGUCCUUAUCUCCUGCAUACAUCAUUGUCUAUACCACGCCCCACCCCUGCCUCAAUCUCUCACACUACUGAAGGUACAGUGUAAUCUUGGUCUUCCACCUUGAAAACCUAUGCUGACCAUUCUCUCGAGGCUGAGUUAGUCAUCCAUACCAUUCUUUGGGCAUUCAUAAUCUAUCAUUUGGUAUUGUUAGUGAUCUUUUUAGAGAUUCAACCAGAGCUUGCAAGUUAAUUGAAAACAGGUUACUAUGCUCACAUGUCCCACAUUUCUGGAACAAUUCAGAAUUCAAAUAUUUUGCUCUACUGCUUCAUAUAACAAAUAAAAAUGACCCAAAA